UACGUAGGGGGCUAGCGUUGUCCGGAUUUAUUGGGCGUAAAGAGCGUGUAGGCGGCCAGGUAGGUCUGGUGUGAAAACUCGAGGCUUAACCUCGAGAUGUCAUCGGAAACCAUCUGGCUAGAGUCCGGAAGAGGAAAGUGGAAUUCCUGGUGUAGCGGUGAAAUGCGUAGAUAUCUGAAGGAACAUCAGUGGCGAAAGCGACUUCCUGGACCAAUACUGACGCUCAUGUGCGAAAGCGUGGGGAGCAAACAGG
RNAcentral lists this ribosomal RNA (253 nucleotides) under uncultured bacterium. RNAcentral describes it as "partial 16S ribosomal RNA". It matches the Rfam family "Bacterial small subunit ribosomal RNA", at positions 524 to 776 of the family's 1533-position model. The record is from RNAcentral.